UACGAAGGGGGCUAGCGUUGCUCGGAAUCACUGGGCGUAAAGGGCGCGUAGGCGGAUCUUUAAGUCGGGGGUGAAAGCCCAGGGCUCAACCCUGGAAUUGCCUUCGAUACUGAAGAUCUCGAGACCGGAAGAGGUAAGUGGAACUGCGAGUGUAGAGGUGAAAUUCGUAGAUAUGCGCAAGAACACCAGUGGCGAAGGCGGCUUACUGGUCCGGUUCUGACGCUGAGGCGCGAAAGCGUGGGGAGCAAACAGG
Molecule: ribosomal RNA, 253 nt
Filed under: uncultured bacterium
Lineage: Bacteria
Description: partial 16S ribosomal RNA
Rfam family: Bacterial small subunit ribosomal RNA
Source: RNAcentral